CCUACGGGAGGCAGCAGUGAGGAAUAUUGGUCAAUGGACGCAAGUCUGAACCAGCCAUGCCGCGUGCAGGAAGACGGCUCUAUGAGUUGUAAACUGCUUUUGUACGAGGGUAAACGCAAAUACGCGUAUCUGUCUGAAAGUAUCGUACGAAUAAGGAUCGGCUAACUCCGUGCCAGCAGCCGCGGUAAUACGGAGGAUUCAAGCGUUAUCCGGAUUUAUUGGGUUUAAAGGGUGCGUAGGCGGUCGGAUAAGUUAGAGGUGAAAUUCCGAGGCUCAACUGUGGAAUUGCAGCUGAUACUGUUCGGCUAGAGAGUAGUAGCGGUAGGCGGAAUGUAUGGUGUAGCGGUGAAAUGCUUAGAGAUCAUACAGAACACCGAUUGCGAAGGCAGCUUACCGAGCUACAUCUGACGUUGAGGCACGAAAGCGUGGGGAGCAAACAGGAUUAGAUACCCCAGUAGUC
Molecule: ribosomal RNA, 460 nt
Filed under: uncultured bacterium
Lineage: Bacteria
Description: partial 16S ribosomal RNA
Rfam family: Bacterial small subunit ribosomal RNA
Source: RNAcentral